Molecule: ribosomal RNA, 406 nt
Filed under: uncultured bacterium
Lineage: Bacteria
Description: partial 16S ribosomal RNA
Rfam family: Bacterial small subunit ribosomal RNA
Source: RNAcentral
AUUGAACGCUGGCGGCAGGCCUAACACAUGCAAGUCGAACGCGUGGCGGCCGGGUGAGUAAUGUCUGGGAAACUGCCCGUUGGCGGGGGAUAACUACUGGCAACGGUAGCUAAUACCGCAUACCAUCGGAUGUGCCCAGAUGGCAUUAGCUAGUAGGUGGGGUAACGGCUCACGUAGGCGACGAUCCCUAGCUGGUCUGAGAGGAUGACCAGCAACACGGGAACUGAGACACGGUCCAGACUCCUACGGGAGGCAGCAGUGGGGAAUAUUGGACAAUGGGCGAAAGCCUGAGGCAGCCAUGCCGCGUGUAUGAAGAAGGCCUUCGGGUUGUAAAGUACUUUCAGCGAGGAGGCGUUACUCGCAGAAGAAGCACCGGCUAACUCCGUGCCAGCAGCCGCGGUAAUAC